This 434-nucleotide ribosomal RNA is filed under the name uncultured Lachnospiraceae bacterium. RNAcentral describes it as "bacterial SSU rRNA". It matches the Rfam family "Bacterial small subunit ribosomal RNA", at positions 341 to 792 of the family's 1533-position model. Lineage: Bacteria; Bacillati; Bacillota; Clostridia; Lachnospirales; Lachnospiraceae. The record is from RNAcentral.
ACGGGAGGCAGCAGUGGGGGAUAUUGCACAAUGGGCGCAAGCCUGAUGCAGCGACGCCGCGUGAGUGAAGAAGUAUUUCGGUAUGUAAAGAUCUAUCAGCAAGGAAGAAAAUGACGGUACUUGACUAAGAAGCCCCGGCUAACUACGUGCCAGCAGCCGCGGUAAUACGUAGGGGGCAAGCGUUAUCCGGAUUUACUGGGUGUAAAGGGAGCGUAGACGGCCAAGCAAGUCUGAUGUGAAAACCCGGGGCUCAACCGCGGGAUUGCAUUGGAAACUGUUAGGCUGGAGUACUGGAGGGGCAGGCGGAAUUCCUGGUGUAGCGGUGGAAUGCGUAGAUAUCAGGAAGAACACCGGUGGCGAAGGCGGCCUGCUGGACAGUAACUGACGUUGAGGCUCGAAAGCGUGGGGAGCAAACAGGAUUAGAUACCCUGGUA